GCCAUAUGAUAUUCCAUAAAGAACUAGUCCUCGAAUGAACAGCAUCAGACAUGACAAACACUGUGAUCGACAUGAGAGACAGCAGCCUCUCCUGCACCAUGGAGAAGUCUCUACUUCCAGAGGUUUCCAGUCAACUUCAGAAUCUUCAUCAGAGAAGUAAAACACAGUUUCACAUUUUAAGGGGAACAGUGUGAUAAACAGCAACAUCCCUCAUCACCAUGACAACAGCUUUGCCUCCAGAGACUUCAAGUCCAGUCAUCCGAUUUCAUCAGAAAUGUAAAAAACUCAUUUUUAGGUUUUAUGGUUUCCAAAAUAUCGUUGGUCAUCAUUAGACCAUGCUUCAAAUUAUGUCAGCAUAUUUGAAAAGGAAUUUUAAGGACAAAGUUUUUCGUUCAAAUAUUGUUUAAGAUCCAGCAUCAUGAUAUAAAAGCAAACAGAUUUUUUAAAUUCUUCUAUAAAAAGGACAGUUUCAGUCAGUGCUGCAUUUUUGAAAGGUCGAUGAUGAUGUGACCUAACAUAUUUUUAUAGCUCC
Long non-coding RNA from Acanthaster planci (crown-of-thorns starfish), 532 nucleotides. The record is from RefSeq and is a predicted model, not a curated record. Lineage: Eukaryota; Metazoa; Echinodermata; Asteroidea; Valvatida; Acanthasteridae.